RNAcentral lists this ribosomal RNA (446 nucleotides) under uncultured bacterium. RNAcentral describes it as "bacterial SSU rRNA". It matches the Rfam family "Bacterial small subunit ribosomal RNA", at positions 958 to 1397 of the family's 1533-position model. The record is from RNAcentral.
AACGCGAAGAACCUUACCUGGCCUUGACAUGCAUCUCUAAGUUGGUGAAAGCCAGCGAGUCUCGAAAGAGACAAUUUGCACAGGUGCUGCAUGGCUGUCGUCAGCUCGUGUCGUGAGAUGUUGGGUUAAGUCCCGCAACGAGCGCAACCCUUGUGAACUGUUGCCACUCCCUUUGUUGGGAAGCACUCUGUUCAGACUGCCCUGUGAAACGGGGAGGAAGGUGAGGAUGACGUCAAGUCAGUAUGGCCCUUACGGCCAGGGCUGCACACGUACUACAAUGCCCAGUACAGAACGAUCCGAGACCGCGAGGUGGAGGAAAUCUAGUAAAACUGGGCCCAGUUCGGAUUGGAGUCUGCAACUCGACUCCAUGAAGCCGGAAUCGCUAGUAAUGGCGCAUCAGCUACGGCGCCGUGAAUACGUUCCCGGGCCUUGUACACACCGGCUAC